RNAcentral lists this ribosomal RNA (253 nucleotides) under uncultured bacterium. Its description in RNAcentral is "partial 16S ribosomal RNA". It matches the Rfam family "Bacterial small subunit ribosomal RNA", at positions 524 to 776 of the family's 1533-position model. The record is from RNAcentral.
UACGUAGGUGACAAGCGUUGUUCGGAUUUACUGGGCGUAAAGAGCGCGCAGGCGGUCGAUCAAGUCGAGUGUGAAAGCCCCCGGCUCAACUGGGGAGGGUCAUUCGAUACUGAUCGACUCGAAGGCAGGAGAGGGUAGUGGAAUUCCCGGUGUAGUGGUGAAAUGCGUAGAUAUCGAGAGGAACACCUGCGGCGAAGGCGGGUUGCUGGGCCGACACUGACGCUGAUGCGCGAAAGCCAGGGGAGCGAACGGG